CUCGCCUCGAGCCAGGCAAGGUGGUGGGGGCCGGCCAGUCCAGGAGCCGGGUGCGCCUCCGACCACCAGCGCAAGGAGGCGCCAUGGGCCCACCGCGAGCCCCGGCGGCGCAGCGACAGCUGUUCGAGAUCGGCACACCGGCUCUCAGCUCCCAGGCUUCGCAGAGCACCGGAGGUGCCUGGGGUUCCAGGGGCGCCCGGGAGCGAUGGAAGAGAAUGCACAGAGACUGAACUUGAAAUGUGAAGUCCGGAAAACCAGCUGCCUCUCCCCGCUGUGUGACCUCUAAUGAAACAUUUGACCUCUUGGAGCUUCAUCUAUAAAUACAGAAAUAUAAUUCCCUCCCCCUCUGCCACUCCAACCCAGGCGGCCAAAGGCUCCUAAAGCUACAAAAUGAGAUCGCUGAUUCAGGCUAGCAGUGCAAACUGUAAAGCCCCAUUCAUACGGGAGGAAUUCGCGUCUUUCUCCUUCGCCUUGGACUGGUGUCUGAAGCCCCUCAGUCAAGGCUUGCCUGGUCGCCGCAUUCCCAUUUUGUGGAUGAGCAAAUGAAGGCUCAGAAAGGUCGCUCUUUCGGGGGUCGCAUGGCUCAUCGGGCAGGGGCAGACUGGUCUCCCGACGCCAGCCCCAGACUCUGUCCCUUUCUCUUCCCGCCGGCACUCCCUGGGAGCACUGACCUCGGGCGACAGAGUAUGGAGAGCCGCCUCGAUCUUCCACAGAGACGGGGAUGCUCAGGAGGAGGCCGCGACAGCUUUCAGUUCGCGGACUCCGGGCCUGAGAGCCGCGGCCGCGGGAACUCGGCCAUCGAACCACGGCCCCUCGGCGCGAGCCUCUCCGCCCGGGCCGGGGAAAGGCUGCCUCCGAGUCCCCAACACCUUGCGUCGUGUGUCUGUGUGCGACGACGACUGUCUACACGACCACCACGUGCUGGCGUGUGAGCGCCUUUGUGUGUCCGCGGCUGUGUCUAUACUGGCAAGUUGGAGGACGAGGCGGGGGAAGGUGCGCAGCGACCCGGCGCAGAUGUGGAGAGGAGGGGUCCCGACACGGGACGGCGACGGGGGCGGGGGCGGAGGGGGGGAGCGAAAUGAUUCUCAGCUGCGAAGGAAGGAAGCUCUGGAGUCCCGCUCUCCCUGUCUGCUG
This 1134-nucleotide long non-coding RNA is filed under the name Felis catus (domestic cat). RNAcentral's name for it is "lncRNA (ENSFCAG00000049242.1)". The record is from RNAcentral. Lineage: Eukaryota; Metazoa; Chordata; Mammalia; Carnivora; Felidae.